Molecule: ribosomal RNA, 326 nt
Filed under: Rhyzobius lophanthae
Lineage: Eukaryota; Metazoa; Arthropoda; Insecta; Coleoptera; Coccinellidae
Description: partial 16S ribosomal RNA
Source: RNAcentral
UAUAAUUUAAAGUAGGGCCUGCCCACUGAAUAUAUUUUAAAGGGCCGCAGUAUUUUGACUGUGCAAAGGUAGCAUAAUCAUUAGUUUUUUAAUUGAAAGCUGGAAUGAAUGGUUUGAUGAGAAAAUAACUGUCUCAAUUUUAAAAAUAGAAUUUUAUUUUUAAGUUAAAAAGCUUAAAUAUAUUUAAAAGACGAGAAGACCCUAUAGAGUUUAAUUUAAUAAAAUUUUAAAUUUUUAGAAUUAAAUGAUUUUAAAUUGUAAUUAAAUUUGAUUGGGGUGAUUAAAAAAUUAAACAAACUUUUUUUAAAUAAAAACAAUAAUUAAUG